UGGAAACAAAAAUUCAUUCAACAUCAUCCACGAACUGGAAUGAGAAGAAGAAAGAACAUCGAAGUCUAGUGUAAAUAAAAUGUUUAGAAUGUUUGAAACGACAUUAGCUUAGCAAGUAAUACAAAUUUGCUGCUGCACGUUACCACGAGAUUGGGCUUUCAUAUUCGACGUGAACAUAACCGUCUCUCUUUUCUGCUAUUUUUGGACUGAAUUUGUCCAGUUUUGUUGAUUUUCUCUGUGCCACGAUUAAAAACAUGUUAAACAUUUUAAUUAUAAAGAGAAGACGUAACGCGAAGUUCACAAAAGCAGCAAGUUUAAUCAACAAAAAUACCGAAAAUAAUAAACGUAAAAAUAAAAAUGGAAAGAAAUCGCAGAAAACAUAAAGGGGAACAUAGGCUUUUCAUCCUAAGGCAAGAGAUUAGGAACGAACUUUUGAGCUUCCGUCGAACCGGAAGAAAUCACUAUAUCAACGAAUCAAUAAAGCUGUCCAGAUUGUACAUCUCGUAGCACUCAGAAUAACACUCAAGAUUAUUCAAUAUAAGCCUCACUAAUCGAUACAGCCAUUCACUCAAGAAUAGAUGAAGAUAAUCUGUACAAAUCACUCAAGAUUAUACAAUUUUGGGGUCAUAUCGAAGGAAUCUUUCUUGGACAAAAUUCUUUAGAUCGAAAGAAGGAGAAUCGCCUCUUGAGAGAGAUGAAGCGGCGAAAUGAGAGAGAG
Molecule: long non-coding RNA, 718 nt
Filed under: Olea europaea (common olive)
Lineage: Eukaryota; Viridiplantae; Streptophyta; Magnoliopsida; Lamiales; Oleaceae
Description: long non-coding RNA (OEUR_LNC001073)
Source: RNAcentral